This is a non-coding RNA of Meleagris gallopavo (turkey), 226 nucleotides long. The record is from RefSeq and is a predicted model, not a curated record. Lineage: Eukaryota; Metazoa; Chordata; Aves; Galliformes; Phasianidae.
CAAGAACAAAACCAGUUUUCUGAUAAUGUGGAGAAGACCCGAGGAAUGGGGGAAGCUCAUCUAUCAGUGGGUGAGAACGCAGCAGCUGCCCUAGUGCACAACCUGGGCGCUCCCAGCCGGGAGGACAGGUGUCAAAGAAUGGCUUGACCAACUCUGUGUUCACACUGUAUGAGUUGAUCAGUGGAGAUGAUACAGCAAAUGAAGAGUUCCAUGGUUUGGAUGAGGC